GGCGGAUCAGCCCGCUCCCGGUAAAACGGGACGGCCCGCCAGAGGACCCCUAAACUCUGUUUCUAUAUGUAACUUCUGAGUAAAACCAUAAAUAAAUCAAAACUUUCAACAACGGAUCUCUUGGUUCUGGCAUCGAUGAAGAACGCAGCAAAAUGCGAUAAGUAAUGUGAAUUGCAGAAUUCAGUGAAUCAUCGAAUCUUUGAACGCACAUUGCGCCCGCCAGUAUUCUGGCGGGCAUGCCUGUUCGAGCGUCAUUUCAACCCUCAAGCCCCCGGGUUUGGUGUUGGGGAUCGGCGAGCCCUUGCGGCAAGCCGGCCCCGAAAUCUAGUGGCGGUCUCGCUGCAGCUUCCAUUGCGUAGUAGUAAAACCCUCGCAACUGGUACGCGGCGCGGCCAAGCCGUUAAACCCCCAACUUCUGAAUGUUGACCUCGGAUCAGGUAGGAAUACCCGCUGAACUUAAGC
This 462-nucleotide ribosomal RNA is filed under the name Fusarium sp. EAS120. RNAcentral describes it as "eukaryotic LSU rRNA". The stretch from base 101 to 254 matches the Rfam family "5.8S ribosomal RNA". The record is from RNAcentral. Lineage: Eukaryota; Fungi; Ascomycota; Sordariomycetes; Hypocreales; Nectriaceae.